This 253-nucleotide ribosomal RNA is filed under the name uncultured bacterium. RNAcentral describes it as "partial 16S ribosomal RNA". It matches the Rfam family "Bacterial small subunit ribosomal RNA", at positions 524 to 776 of the family's 1533-position model. The record is from RNAcentral.
CACGUAGGAGACUAGCGUUAUCCGGAUUUAUUGGGCGUAAAGCGCGUGCAGGCGGCUCGGAUAGUUGGAUGUGAAAGCUCCCGGCUUAACUGGGAGAGGUCGUUCAAUACUUCCGGGCUCGAGGAUGGGAGAGGGAGGUGGAAUUCCGGGUGUAGUGGUGAAAUGCGUAGAUAUCCGGAGGAACACCAGUGGCGAAAGCGACCUCCUGGCCCAUCUCUGACGCUCAGACGCGAAAGCUAGGGUAGCAAACGGG